UACAGAGGUCCCAAGCGUUGUUCGGAUUCAUUGGGCGUAAAGGGUGUGUAGGUGGCGCGCUAAGUCGGGUGUGAAAUUUCGGAGCUUAACUGCGAAACUGCAUUCGAUACUGCCGUGCUUGAGGACUGGAGAGGAGACUGGAAUUUACGGUGUAGCGGUGAAAUGCGUAGAUAUCGUAAGGAAGACCAGUGGCGAAGGCGGGUCUCUGGACAGUUCCUGACGCUGAGGCACGAAGGUCAGGGGAGCAAACGGG
Molecule: ribosomal RNA, 253 nt
Filed under: uncultured bacterium
Lineage: Bacteria
Description: partial 16S ribosomal RNA
Rfam family: Bacterial small subunit ribosomal RNA
Source: RNAcentral